This is a long non-coding RNA of Rhincodon typus (whale shark), 234 nucleotides long. RefSeq lists it as uncharacterized. Lineage: Eukaryota; Metazoa; Chordata; Chondrichthyes; Orectolobiformes; Rhincodontidae. The transcript is spliced from 3 exons. The record is from RefSeq and is a predicted model, not a curated record.
UGCCCGGGCAAGAUCCACUCGCAUGCCGAGCCGAGACAUCGCCACAAGCCACAAGAGACCGGGCUGACAUACCGCCAAAAGACCAGGCCGAGACCCGCCAUGAGUCACCGAGAUACCAGGCCACGGGGAAGGUGAAGAAACACAAACAGGAACCAUUGAUGUAAAGGGGAUGGAUGUUGCAUAUUUGUGAAUUGGCCAGCACUUCAGUGCAAAAGAUAAGGCUGAAGCAUUCAC